AAACUCACCCUGACGGAAAGCUUCAGCACACUUCUCGGUCUGUCGCACCAGUCUGCGAGCAUUCUGCACCACAGCAGGCAACCGAGCAUACCAGUUCCUCAGCACAUCCUGCAGCAGAUUCCGUGCCAGUCGAGUCUUGCCAGUAUACACCAGGAGCAGGUGGUCAUUGAUCUUCUGGACAAACCCCUCAGGCACAGUGAUUUCCUCCACCUCCACCUUUAGAGGUAGCUGGGCCCGGGAGCGUCCCACCUUGAUGCCAGGCACUAGGCCACUCACUUGGUCCUGCCAGCCACCUCCUAUGAGCCCAAAGUCCUGUCACUUUUGGAGCCUAUAUGGCCCAACCUUGCCCAGCCUCGUUUCGUUGCCUUGAACCUCUACUGGAAUCAGAAUGGGAAGACAGCUUGUCCCAACUCCGGCUGAGACUAGUUAGCCAUGAUAGCAAGCCAAUCCCGGAAGGGGAAAGGGGCUGCAGUCAAGACCUAAGUUUGUCGCAGAUCUGACACAAUCAGAGUCAAUAUAAGACACAUCAGAAAAUAUACUUCCACAUAAUCUGUCAGUGCCUCAACAAUCUGUCUUCUAAGAAUGUUUGAAAAUAAGUUCACGGAGGCAAAAAAGAUGGCUGCAAUUAAAAAUGCUUAUUGCUCUUACAGAAGACCAGAAUUUGGUUUUCAGCACCCACAUCUGGCAGCAAACAACCACCUGUAACUCCAGCACAAGUGGAUUAAAUAGCUUCUGGCCUCUGUAGACACCACAUGUACACAUACCCACAGAAAGAUACAUGUAACACAAAGAUAUCUUUGUUUGUUUUGUUUUCAAGACAGAGUUUCUCUGUGUAAGGGAGCCCUGGCUGUCCUGGACUUGCUUUGUACAGAGAUCCACCUGCCUCCCCAGUGCUGGAAUUAAAGGCAUGGGCCACCACACCCAGCUAAAGAUGUUUAAGAAGAGGGGGAGACAGCUCUCCAGAGUAAGUUCUAGCACAGCCAGGGCUACAUUGUAUAUGUGUAGGUAUGUGCACAUGAAUGCAGUACCCAAAGAUGUAUCAGAUCCCUUGAUGCUGGAGCUACAGGUGGCUGUGAGCUAGGAACUCUCUGGCCCCUCCACCACCUAGAACUAAUUGGCUACACUGGCUGGCCAGUGAGUCCCCGGGGAAUCCUUGUGCCCACCUCCCAGUACAGGGAUUAUAAGCAUGUGCUUUCAUGCCUAGAUUUCUGCACUGGUCCUGGGGAUCUAAGGUCAGGUCCUCAUGUUUGCACAGCAAACACUUUACCCACAAGCUAGCUCUCUAACAUGUAGUCCCUCGGUAUUUAAGAAUCUAAAGUAUGGAAUGCAGAUGGUAAGCCAGAGCCAGGAAGCGUCAAGAAUUUGACUAUACCCUGCUUCAGAACACUCAGUGCAAGUGCAAAUGAUACAUUCACACCAGGCUACUGAUGAGUGUCUCUGUCCCUUACAUCCCAUGUCUUUUAAGACUAGGAAACAUGUUUCUGCUUGUUUUAUCCCCAAGCCUCAAUAGAGCAGACUAUCAAUAAAUGUCAGUUGAGCAAA
This is a long non-coding RNA of Meriones unguiculatus (Mongolian gerbil), 1542 nucleotides long. RefSeq lists it as uncharacterized. The transcript has 2 exons. Lineage: Eukaryota; Metazoa; Chordata; Mammalia; Rodentia; Muridae. The record is from RefSeq and is a predicted model, not a curated record.